UGUCUCUCUAUUCAUCUCUCUUUGUCUCUCACUCUGUCUCUCCCUCUGUCUCUCCCUGUCCCUCUCUGUCUCUGUCUCUCUCUCUCUCUCUCUCUCUCUCUCUCUAUCAUACACACAGACACACAUUAUGUGUAGACGAAUUUGUCCUUGAAACGUUUAUCUUGUAUAUCGUUUUAUGAGUAUACUUAAUGCAUUUUAUUCUGUAACAG
Non-coding RNA from Pelobates cultripes (western spadefoot toad), 209 nucleotides. The record is from the annotation of a GenBank genome assembly. Lineage: Eukaryota; Metazoa; Chordata; Amphibia; Anura; Pelobatidae.